RNAcentral lists this ribosomal RNA (821 nucleotides) under uncultured bacterium. Its description in RNAcentral is "bacterial SSU rRNA". It matches the Rfam family "Bacterial small subunit ribosomal RNA", at positions 8 to 796 of the family's 1533-position model. The record is from RNAcentral.
AGAGUUUGAUCCUGGCUCAGGACGAACGCUGGCGGCGUGCCUAAUACAUGCAAGUCGAGCGAGCGGAACUAACAGAUUUACUUCGGUAAUGACGUUAGGAAAGCGAGCGGCGGAUGGGUGAGUAACACGUGGGGAACCUGCCCCAUAGUCUGGGAUACCACUUGGAAACAGGUGCUAAUACCGGAUAAGAAAGCAGAUCGCAUGAUCAGCUUUUAAAAGGCGGCGUAAGCUGUCGCUAUGGGAUGGCCCCGCGGUGCAUUAGCUAGUUGGUAAGGUAAAGGCUUACCAAGGCGAUGAUGCAUAGCCGAGUUGAGAGACUGAUCGGCCACAUUGGGACUGAGACACGGCCCAAACUCCUACGGGAGGCAGCAGUAGGGAAUCUUCCACAAUGGACGCAAGUCUGAUGGAGCAACGCCGCGUGAGUGAAGAAGGUUUUCGGAUCGUAAAGCUCUGUUGUUGGUGAAGAAGGAUAGAGGUAGUAACUGGCCUUUAUUUGACGGUAAUCGACCAGAAAGUCACGGCUAACUACGUGCCAGCAGCCGCGGUAAUACGUAGGUGGCAAGCGUUGUCCGGAUUUAUUGGGCGUAAAGCGAGCGCAGGCGGAAGAAUAAGUCUGAUGUGAAAGCCCUCGGCUUAACCGAGGAACUGCAUCGGAAACUGUUUUUCUUGAGUGCAGAAGAGGAGAGUGGAACUCCAUGUGUAGCGGUGGAAUGCGUAGAUAUAUGGAAGAACACCAGUGGCGAAGGCGGCUCUCUGGUCUGCAACUGACGCUGAGGCUCGAAAGCAUGGGUAGCGAACAGGAUUAGAUACCCUGGUUGUCC